Molecule: ribosomal RNA, 253 nt
Filed under: uncultured bacterium
Lineage: Bacteria
Description: partial 16S ribosomal RNA
Rfam family: Bacterial small subunit ribosomal RNA
Source: RNAcentral
UACGGAGGGUGCAAGCAUUAAUCGGAAUUAUUGGGCGUAAAGGGCGCGUAGGCGGAAAGUCAAGUCAGAUGUGAAAUACCAAAGCUCAACUUUGGUGCUGCAUUUGAAACUGGCUAUCUAGAGGGUUGACGGAGAAAACGGAAUUCCACGUGUAGCGGUGAAAUGCGUAGAUAUGUGGAAGAACACCUGUGGCGAAAGCGGUUUUCUAGUUUAUACCUGACGCUGAGGCGCGAGAGCAAGGGGAGCAAACAGG